GCCUACGGGGGGCAGCAGUGGGGAAUCUUCCGCAAUGGGCGAAAGCCUGACGGAGCAACGCCGCGUGAAUGACGAAGGCCUUCGGGUCGUAGAGUUCUGUCUUAUGGGACGAAUGUCGGGGAUGUGAAUAAUGUCUUCGAAUGACGGUACUAUAGGAGGAAGCCCCGGCUAACUACGUGCCAGCAGCCGCGGUAAUACGUAGGGGGCAAGCGUUGUCCGGAAUUACUGGGCGUAAAGGGCGUGUAGGUGGGUAAUUAAGUCAUGGGUGAAAACUGCGAGCUAAACUUGCAGACUGCCUAUGAAACUGGCUAUCUUGAGGGCAGGAGAGGAAAGUGGAAUUCCUAGUGUAGCGGUGAAAUGCGUAGAUAUUAGGAGGAACACCAGUGGCGAAGGCGACUUUCUGGACUGACCCUGACACUGAGGCGCGAAAGCUAGGGGAGCGAACGGGAUUAGAUACCCCGGUAGUCCC
RNAcentral lists this ribosomal RNA (469 nucleotides) under uncultured bacterium. Its description in RNAcentral is "bacterial SSU rRNA". It matches the Rfam family "Bacterial small subunit ribosomal RNA", at positions 337 to 797 of the family's 1533-position model. The record is from RNAcentral.